AAAAAGCAGAAAAAAUUAUCCCUGAACUGAUCUAAAACACACUGCCAAGCCAUUGAUUCAGUCUCCCUAAAUUUUAAUUGUUAAUAUAACCUACCAAAAUGUAGCAUGCCAUCCAAAAGUGCACCUAAUUUUACUGAGGCUGGAAACAGUGGAUUUAGAAGAUGGUGGAAAAGUCCAGGGAUUUCACAGGAGAGAGAAAGAAGCAUCAGUUAGUGCUGUGACUUCAGGGUCUAUUCUAGAGGAGAGGUUAGGGACUCACGUUGUUCCAUGCCUGAUUAUGUGAAAAAUAAACUUAGUAAUAGACACAUAACUAGCCUGUCAUAAGUGUUUUCCAUAUCCUCAUGCUCAAGCAUCAUUUGAGAACCUCAUCAUCUUCUAUAUAUUUAGUAUUUCAAUGAAGUGGGAAAGCAUUGCUAUCUCCAAAUGAGGACGAGGGGGAAAAAGGUUCUCAGAUGAUGAAUUUACAGAUUGGGAAGGAGAGGUACAGGGAGACUAAGUUAUUUACUGGAAUUUGGAACGGAGGAAAGAAGUGAAUCCAGGUGUUGCUGCUCUCUCCCUCUUCCCUUCCCUUGCAACUGUCACUCAGCUGGGAGGUGAAUUUAGAUCAAAUUCACCUUCUGCAAAAAUGUGACUUUUGGCCAGGCCAAGAGAAUAUCUUUGUGGUUCCCUCCUCAGAUGAAGUCUCUCAUUUAUAAAAGGAUGAGACCCUGCUCCCGGAGUCAAUUAGUUAAAGCAUCGCAGCUGGAUCUAGAUGGGUCUGCUGGUCUCUCAGACUCCUCAUUUGGUUGUGAAGACUGGAUGGUUACACCAUGUGCACCUCUUAUCUCUUGACACUGAAGACAAGUGAUUUUAACCACAGCACAUUUGGAUUUGUCUGCUUGUGUACAAGGAGAAGCUGUGAGUUUGGACUGAUGUGAAUUUCCAACUGGUAGGUCUAUGCACCCCCACAGAUAAACCUGUGCUCCUUUCCUGCAGGAAGGAAAAAAGCAGAAACCAGCAAUGAGAUUCUUGUUCUUUAUUGUUUAAGA
This 1028-nucleotide long non-coding RNA is filed under the name Anas platyrhynchos platyrhynchos (common mallard). Its description in RNAcentral is "lncRNA (ENSAPLG00000023674.1)". Lineage: Eukaryota; Metazoa; Chordata; Aves; Anseriformes; Anatidae. The record is from RNAcentral.